UCUGUUUACCUUUUAUUCUCAUUUUGUUCUGUUUGCAUAGAUAACUUGGUCUUUCCUGGCAUGUUCACGUCCUUUGAUGUGGUACAAAUAAAGGUACGGGCCACUGUUACAUGAUUUUCAUCCUCCCUACACACAAGCAAGUUUACUGUCCACAGUCCACCAUCUAUCAAAAGACAACAUAAAAGUUCAUUGUUACUUUCUUCAAAUUAUUGACUUGUUAUUAAGUGAUGAUCAGUGACUAUUUCACUGAGUAUUUAACUAACAGUAUGAAUCUUCACUUAAUCCCAGACUGGGUCAAAAGGUUUUUCUUCCUAUUAAAAUUAUGUUGUCUGAAAACGUUAAUUUCAGCAUUGAAAGCAUUAGAAAAAUAGAAUGCAAAAGAGAAUUGACUGUACAGUUCAGUUGUGUAAUUUCUGUGGAGUGGAAAUACUUGAAGGUAACAGUUAUAAUGAUUUAUGUAGCAAAGAAAAUAAUAUGCAUCUUCAAGGAAAAAAACCUUCUCUGCAUAGUGGAAGCUGCUAAAGAAAGAAAGUGUGUUACAGAGGUUGUAAUGCUUCUUCAUGACAGCUUAUAUACUUACAAAUGAUAAAGUCAGACAGCUUCUCUGAUACAGGAUCUUAUGUUAUAAACUCAGGAGUCUUGUUUGUGCUUGUUGUGAGAACCUUAUUAAAGUGUGUUCACAGACUAACAUGCCAGCAGAUUCUGGGAGGUGUGUCAUAACUGUAUUUGUACUAAGAGUGGCAGAGUUUGAGGACGUGUGAAGUGAUGUUGGCACCAAUGUCCUGGACCGUGAGUGUGUUUGUGGAGUUGUCCACUUUGUGUCAGCGUACGUUCUUCUUCAGCCAGAUGUGUAAAUGUAGAUGAAGCAGCUCAAGGAAUAAAAAGCUGGAUGGAUGGGAGAAAGAGGAAAAUGUGGCUCGUAGCAUGAAGAGCUUUGAGCUCUCAAUAAGAUCGCUCUUUCCAUUCAGCAAAAUAGCUGGCUUACUGUGAAUUAAUACUUUCUAUUUUAACCUUUUUAUACUGUCAUAAUCCUGUUUGAGCUUAACCUAGAGGCCUAGCUUCAAGGAUGUUUUCAGGUUUCUAACCCUGAUGAGCAAGUUGUAUUUCUUACCUCACAAAUAGGCUCAAACAUUAAGCCACUAAUGUUUUACCACUAUUUCUAAUUUUUAUGGCAUGUAUCUAGACAACCAGCAUAUGCUUAUGCUGACAAAGUACUUACUAUCAGUGUAACAGGAGCUAAAUAAAAAACAAUCCUAAAAAGCUUUACAUACUAUUGUGGUUCUUUGACACAGAUAUAGAAAAAGGUCAUUCUGCCUCCGACAGUUACUAGAUGAAUAAUUGAAAAAUUCCUCAAGUCUGAAAGUGUCUUUACUGGUGCAGGGGAACCUUUUUUGUGGAACAUUUGCACAUAGAGAUGAAAGUACUAUCAUUAAAGUUGCUUUCAAGGUUUCAAAAGAAAGCAUAAAUCUUUACAACCAUUUCCAUAAUGAACCAAACAUAAUAAUCCAGAUCUUGGUGCCAUUUUCAGCAUGUAUACAGUCAGAAAGGAGGCACACAUUUUCACACCACUGUAUGUGUGUAAAACACUAUAGGCUAAAUGCAGUUACACCACAAGUAGUUUUAGUUUCAGCUUGGCAUGAUCUAGCUGUAGCUCUCGAGGUAGAGCAGAUCAUCUACUGUUCGAUCCCCGGCUCCCCCAAUCUGCAUGCCAAGUAUCCUUGGGCAAGAUACUAACACUAAGUUGCAUCUGAUGCAUCCAUGGGAGUAUGAAUAUACAUGAAUGUUAGCUAGAAAGCACUAAAAGCUUAGAAGAAAGUUUGUGUGAACAGGUGUGAAUAUAGAGCACUUUGAGUGCUCCGGGAGAGUAGAGAAGCGCAAUAUAAGAAUCAGUCUGUUUACCAUUUACCAUGUCAAUUGCAAGUAAUGCUUAUCAUGUUGUAUGUAUUCUACAAAAGAUCUGUAUAUUAUAUAUAAUGGAUAACCAUUACCAACUUAAAGGAAAAACAAUGGUUGUCAUGGCUUAUAGUUUCCAUAUUCAGUUCAAUUAAGAUUCAAUUUCCUGUCGUGGUUUCGAAGUAAUUACAUGGAUGGGAAAGCAGAGCAGACAGAACAGGAGUAGACUGAUGUCUAUGAAUGGUUUUCCAACCACCAUUCAUAGACAUCAGUCAGUAUUUUUACAAGCCACUUUAAAAGUGAGAAGAAUAACACAGCAGAGCUGCAUCUGUUUGUGAGUGCUAUGAAAUCAUUUUUUGCUGAAGGUUUCAAUGAAGUUCUGGUUUCCGGAGCUGUUUCCAUGCUGAGAUGUUUUGUGGUGUUUGUGGUGUUUAAUAAGAAUGUGUGGAACUGUUAAUAUUAUUAUUGUAGCUGCAUUAAAGCCUGACACAUGCGGACAGGCUUUGAAAACACAUUAAUGUGUAAUUAUGUUUUCCAACAAAUUGAUGCGUUUUCCUAAACUUAUAAUUGAGCAGGUGCAAGCAGAGCUAGGAUUAUGCUUUUAAAUUGGGAGGACUAAGAAAACAGAACUCAGCUGACAGCAGUCUGCAAUAUACUGGCAUCUUUAAAGUAUACAACAUUUGAUAUGCCAAUGCAUCAACCAGUUUUUCAGUAAAUUACUAUUUUGUAUUUCUUUUAAACAGGUAAGAUCUUCCCUUUUAUUCUAGUUGUUUAAGCACACCGCCUUUCUUUAAUUCACCUUUCUGUCUAAGCCCAAAUUUACACUGUUUAUUGGAGCUUAGAUGACCAGAACUGAUCCUUUUGUCAAAAGAUCUUUUGAGAAGAAACCAAAGUUCAAUAAGUAAAGCUGUGAAACAAUCAUUAGUAGCACUUGUUUACUGCUGGUCUCUGUGGGUCUGCCGCCAUGACACGGGCCUGCUGCUUGUUGGUUUUGGCUCUGUUACUCUCACCAUGGCUGUUGUGCUGGUCCUUCAGAGGUGGUAAUAAUUGUGUUGAGAUUACAAUUAUUGACCAGAAUAAUUAUGAAUUUGGUUUUUGCCACGAUGGAGCAGCCGUAGUCUAAUAACAGGCUAAGUGGGGUACAAGAAAUGAAGUUUUAAUAUUUGUACAAAAAAUAAAAAAUAAAAUGCUGGGUCAUCUGGGAUGAUAAUAGAUUCUCAUGUCUAGUUUAAAAUAAUAAAAUUCUUUAAAUUGUAUCGCAUUUUGGUGGUUACCAAAUUUUUACAGUUUUACAAUGAAAAACAUCCAAACAUCCAUCCUCCAACCAUACUCUGUGCCUAAAGGAAGCCAAGAAUCACAUACCCUUGAAAAAAGAUCGCAUCCCAACUUUCACAGAAGCACAAAACAAAAUAAUCAUAUAGUACGUUUUACAAGCAGUACUAGUAAUAUUUCAUAGAAAUGUCCUGAACAAACAAACAUUGUUAUGACAUGUUUCUCUUUGUGUGCACGUGUUGGUGUUUUUCAAUCUUAACUCUACUUUAAGGGACAGAAUUUCGAAGAUUAGGUGAAAUAAACUGGGGGUUUUUUUUGUUGUUGUUGUUUUUAUUUAAUAUAUUUGUUUCAUGUUGUGAGAUGGCUGCUGAUGGGAAGUGUAAUCUUUGGCAUUAUACAUUACAACUAUAAACAUUUCAGGGAUCAUGUUUCUGUGUCUUUUCUCUAGAAUUUUAAACAGGAUCCGUUGUAAUUAUUUAUCCAGUUCCAACUCAAUGUUCUUUAACUAUACUAAAAUUUAAAUAAAGCCAUUUUUAUCUCCUACUAGGCCUUGGUGCAGCCCUGCAGUUCUUCCUUUGUCAUGUUAGCACACUUUUUCACUAUUUUUACUGAGUGACUCUUAUUAGUUGCUGACUGACUUACUGACACUAGUCUAAAUCAUAAGGUAGGCAGUUUGACUAAUGGGUUGGCCUAUCAGUUACAACAUGAAUGUUUGGCUUCAAGUCUCCACUGACAAAGGCACUCUUGGGCAUAUUUGACACUUAUCAUGUUCACAGCGUUCAUAAGUAGAGCCUAGUAGUUUUAUUCUGAAUUGAAUUGUAGUUUCUUAAAAAAAAAAAAUGUAAAAAGCUAUCCAGCUGGAAUACAAUAAGUAGGUAACUGUUUGACCAGAACUCAUGUAAAGUUACUGAAUGUUAUACUUACGUUAACUUCUUAUCCACUGCCAAACAGGACUGCUCAAUUUAAAUUGUGUACACAGAGGCAGAGUUUGGACAGUAAAAGUAACUUUCCCAAACUGUGAGCUACAAGAUGGCAUCAAAUGACAGGUUCUAGAUUAGACAUCAAGGACCGAAAGUCGUCAGAGGUUGACUUUUACCUUAUUAACCAAUUGUAACAUCAGUCAGAGUAUUUCAUUUGAUUGGUCAUCUCACACAACAUUAAUAGCUGGCUAACAGGGUCAUGGAAAACACAAGGGUUACAGUCCAGUUACAGACAUCCAGCUGCUCUGACUCAUAAUGUCUAUUGUACAAAUCAUCAGACUCAAGUAUGCCAAGCUCAAAACUCCCACUUGAUGGUCUUUUAAUGGACCGACAUUAGAUUAUCUUUUGUGCUCUCUAUUGCCAAAUUAACUCAUUCCCGUUGCUCCCUUUUCCUUUUAGACUCAGAUAUGCACCAUCCAUGUUUAAGCCCCUUUUCCAUUAGUACCCACUCAGAUCGCCAUGGUCUUCAGGGUUUUCCAUUAGGUCAUAGUAUCAGGUACCUCGCUCAAGGUUUCAAGCGAUCCGAGUAGGUACUAAAAUGUGACGUCGUCAGACUGCAUGCCACCAAUUGCCUGGUCAGUAGCAUCACUCGAUGAGUCAUGAGGGCGUCUUGUUCACUAAAAUUUAAACUACCGUUUUUGAAACCUGACCAUGAGGAAAAUGGCUCCAAAAAACAACACCAUGUUCCCCCGAGUCUGAAGAAAAGCCACAGACCGAGCAGCAGGUAUAUUCUUGCCUCUUCACCGAUUUUGUAGCAUUCAUGUCGCAGGACAUUCAUAUGCGUUGCCAUUACGACAACAACGCAGUUAGGUUGUACCGGAUUGUAAUGAAAACCCAGUCGAUCAGAGUAGAGUCGUGGCGAGUCCUUCCAAGUAGGUACUAGUGGAAAAGGUUUACUGUCUUAACCUCAUGCACCUGUUGAGUUAUGAAGUCAGUGACGGUGUCAGUCUUGCAUAUAUUAUAGAUGUAUAUAUGUUAGACAUUUAUGAUUUAUGAUUAAUGUAUCCACAUCCAUCCUGUUAUGGGUUUGUUUAAAUGGUGUUUUAAACUUAUCUUUGUCUGACCCUUAUCAAUGGGUCUAAACACUCCCAAAGGGGCAGAGGCAAGUCCUGCAAUGUCCCCACCACAUGCAGGCACAGAGUGCACUAAAAUACUCUACCUGAAUGCAGCAUCCCCAUAUCAGUUUAAUAUGCCGUAAACAAAGUUUAAAUAAAAUACAUUUUUAACACAUGUAUCAUAAAAUACAGCAGUUGGGUAAUACUCGACCAGAGUUAUUGUCCAUCAGGUUACUCAGAGUUGACAUCAGAUACUGAAUACAAUUCAAUUUACCUUUUUUAGCUCCGACUCAAUUUUCCAUCUUUGGUAGAUGCAACGCGCUUCUCUGGAAAAUGCCUGAUUUCAGUUGCACAUCAAAUGUUUCUUCAAAAUCCACUAUAAUACAAUCAUUCCUUCUAAUUCCACUGCCGUUAAUGUCACAGUAUGAUUAAACCAUCCAGUCAUCCAGUCUCUUCCGUUUAUCCUUAUCAGGGUUAGUUAAGCUAUCCCACUAACUGCAUGUCUUUGGACUGUGGGAGGAAGCCCGAGUACCCGGAGAACCCACACUAACACAGGGAGAACAUCCUAACUCCACACAGAAAGUCCCCACCAGGUGGUGAAGUCGAACUUAGGACCUUCUUCCUAUGAGGCAACCGCAACACAUGCUUCCCUGAUUAAUACUACCCAACAGUAGUUAGCAGUGUUAGUGUCAAAUCCAUCUGUUUAGGGUGUAAUGGGAGCUUUGUGCGCCUUGAGGCAGCUGUUGUUGUAAUUGAGUACUUUAUAUAAAUAAAAUUGAAUUGAAAGAUUUAUCUAAAAUUGUUACGUUGGUCUUUUUUCUAUAACAUUGUUAACAUGGUGCUCUAGGGGAAUAGUAAAAAACUGAACAAAUACAUUAGCUGUGUCUUAUGGAGAAGAAUACAGAAAAAUACAAAUAAAUGCAUUGCUCAUCCUGUAGUGGGGGGAAGCAAGCACUGUGACUCCAUGUAGAAUAAGGUUGUGGUAGAAGGGCUUAAAACAGAGUGUGGUCCUGUUGACUGAGAUGACUGUGUUGUUUUUAGAUUAAAACACGAAAUUAACUACAUGUUGGAAAUCUCUUUGCUUUCUUGUAGAAUUGUAUUUCAUUUAUUUUAUUUUUCUGUUGAAAUCACAACAGCAUAGUUGGCGAGUUUCAAUAAUACUCCUCGCAAUGGCAGCAUUUCUCAACAUCCAGCAGCGUACCAUUAGGGGACAGUGUUUGAGUCAGGCUUUUUUAUAGAACUUUUAGAUCUGCCAAAUGAAAAAUCUUUAAACAAAGAAUGUGUGCUUCGAAAAAACUAAAACUAAAAUGAGGCUUUAUCUGAAAAGAUUGCAUCUUUGAGUUCUUAGCAUGUGGCCAAAAAAGACAAACCUAACCUGCUUAGGUUUGUUGGGUUUGGGUUUUUUAAAUAUAUUUAUAUUAUAUUGAGCAAGGGAUUUGAACAAACAAUGAUGUUUUAACCGAACAGCCAGCUGAGAUCAAUCACGUGAUUUAUUUGGGGUUUUUUAUAUAUCUGUUUAAGUAUAUUGUAUGUACUUAUUUAAUAUAGAGGAUAACAAUAUUGCUAACCAUCCACAAACUGCUUUGCUAGGUGUGACAGGGCGCGGUCUGCCACUGCAGGGCAGGUGGACGCACCUGAGCGGCAUCCGCAAUCACGCCUCACCAGCAUAAAAAGGCUGUACUGGGUCCUGUCGUUUGUUGUUGUUGUUGGUGAUGUGUUUGACUGGCAGCUGGAAAGCUGCAAUCGGAACAAUAAAGAUGCUGAAAAGCAUAAAAAUGUC
This is a long non-coding RNA of Oreochromis niloticus (Nile tilapia), 6980 nucleotides long. RefSeq lists it as uncharacterized. The record is from RefSeq and is a predicted model, not a curated record. Lineage: Eukaryota; Metazoa; Chordata; Actinopteri; Cichliformes; Cichlidae. The transcript is spliced from 2 exons.